This 469-nucleotide small RNA is filed under the name Arabidopsis thaliana (thale cress). RNAcentral's name for it is "ATSL201600". The record is from RNAcentral. Lineage: Eukaryota; Viridiplantae; Streptophyta; Magnoliopsida; Brassicales; Brassicaceae.
AUUGAGAGGUCGAGUGAUAAGCUGGAGUCUUCUUUUCUUCCUUGUGCUCGAGUGUCUCGUUGAGUGCGAAAUGAAGAAGACUCUGAAGCUUGCAGUCGAGUAUGUAAUCGAGUGAUAGAGAUGAUGGUACUCCGUUUGGUGGUAGAAUAGUGUGAUCUAGUGAAGGUGAAGUGGUGGAGGUGAUGAUACUCGACCAGGGGGUCGAAUGGUGUGAUCGAGUGUAUCUCUUGGCGGUACUCGACCAGGGGGUUGAGUGGUGACAUGAUGUGCUGAGGUCUUCUACUCGACCAAGGGGUAGAGUGGUCUGUUGAAGUCGUGAAGUGUCUACUCGACCAGGGGGUCGACUGGUUUGACAUGAUCAUGUCCGCUUCUUCCAAUUAGCUCGUCAACAGUUCCAAAUCACCUGAAAUCAACACAAAUAUGCAACAUGCAUGCAAAACUAUCCUAAACAUGCAAAGUGAUUACAAAU